Molecule: unclassified non-coding RNA, 1741 nt
Filed under: Hevea brasiliensis (rubber tree)
Lineage: Eukaryota; Viridiplantae; Streptophyta; Magnoliopsida; Malpighiales; Euphorbiaceae
Source: RNAcentral
AAAAAUAUGUUUGUAGCAUACCUAAUCUAUGUAAGAAAUAGAACUCUCCUACAGAAAGUUGAGUUCAAAGGAAGCAUAAUCAUGACUUCCAAACGUUAAGUGCUAUCCUAAGUUGCACGCAGAAAAUGCUCUUUACUAUAUAUUUACUGGAGCACUCUGCACGCAGGAUAUGUACCAGUAAAUUGCCAUGCCAACAAUCACAGUAGUCCACGAAACAACGGUUCUCUUCCUUCCAUGUUCCUAACAAUUUGAUAGCUUCAUCAACAUUAGCACACUUUGCAAACACGUCAAUCUGAGCAUUACAAAGCUCAAAAUGUCUUUUGAACCCUUUCCUUCUCGAUACAAGACUCUACCCACUUCCCUAAUUUAAGAGCACCUAAAUCUGUGCGGGCAGACAGAAAUGAGGCGGUCUGCAUUUGCCUGAGCAAACCAAUCCCAUCAAUACACCUCCCUAAACGCUGGGGUGUACUCAUUCUAUAAUUUGCCUCAACUGUCAGAUGCUUUCAGAAAAACGGCAGCGUUAUUGGAGGCCCAUCCACCUUCGUCCAACGUUUAAAUUCCCGUCCACCUCAUCUAUUUCGUCCCACAACCCUUCAGACUCCUCCAUGUGGCUCAUUAUUGUAGGCCCACGUCACCCUAUUUUGACCUCCACAUCGUGUUUUUGUAAUGCAUCAGACAACGUUGCCGCUGCUAAAGUUGGCCAGUUACAGUUGCAGAAAGCCAGAAAACCUUACGACUGGUGAGAUUGAAAAGAAGAAGAAGAAGAAAUCUGGAACAAAAUGAGAAGAGUAUCCUCAAUUCCUUCGCUUAUAUCUAUCGGGUUUGUUCGACGAAGAAUAAUCUCCAAUAAAUCUCAAAUCAAUGUCCUUCGCCUUUCCUCCGAUGAUCCUUCCCGUCUUUCCUCCCCACCGCCUCCAGCUGAACUUGGUGUCAAAAUUGGAGGACCACUGUGAGAUAGUGCUGAUUGGAAGUGAGAUUCAUUAUCGACGUUUUAUAGCUCAAAGAUCUAAAGACCAGGUGAGGUGCUAUGCAGUUAUACUUGGAUUCCUUGCAUUUUCAUGUAUACUUUGUUAGUUCAUCUGCCUUCCAGAUUUGCUUCAUUUUAGUAUCUUUAUAUUUGUUAGUGGUUUUAAUAUCUUGACAUUCUACGCAAUAGAAACAACUGAAAUACUCACAAUUUAUUUUCAAAAUUUCCAAUUUCACAGUUUGAUUCUAAAUAUUAUUAAUUUUGAAGAUUAUUUUCUCUUCAAAUCUUCACUUGUUCAACUAUUCUGAGCAAGGUACAGUCCCAUGAUGUUUCUCAUGGUCAUUAAACUUACCGUGUUUCUUUUGGUUGUAUACGUCAAUUCUAGGUUGCCAUUUCUCAGAUUUAUUUUAUUCUAUUAUUAUAAAUUUCCUAAUCAUGAUCUGAGUAUAGGGAAAUGCCAGUCUCUUAGUACUGAAGCCAAGGCUGACAGAUAUGAUUUAUCUCCCAUAAUUCAUCAAAUGAAGGGUAUUCCUCUUGCAGCUCCCUGGAAAGUCUUUUCAGUGUCCUUUUGUUCUUAGAGUAGUUCCAUCAGUUCUUGCAGAUCUACUAAUCUAUUUAAAUCGGCUAGAUAGAGUCGAUAACUGUUAUCUGCUUGUUUUUGUGCAUUUGUUUCCAUCUAGUUGGUUGGAACUAAAAUUGCAAAUAUGCAGGUUCACUAUUUUUGGCCAUUGGAAAACAGUGUUGUGAAGGAAUUUGAGAAAAUUUGGUGUCAGG